Molecule: non-coding RNA, 83 nt
Organism: Mycena sp. CBHHK59/15
Lineage: Eukaryota; Fungi; Basidiomycota; Agaricomycetes; Agaricales; Mycenaceae
Source: the annotation of a GenBank genome assembly
GGCCUGGUGGUCUAGUAGUAUGAUACCUUGUUAGGGUGUAUUGACUUUCGAGGUGGCCCCGGGUUCAAUUCCCGGCCAGGCCC